AAAUUUUAGAGAGUUUGAUCCUGGCUCAGGACGAACGCUGGCGGCGUGCCUAACACAUGCAAGUCGAACGGAACUUCUUUAAAGGAUUUCUUCGGAAUGAAUUUGAUUAAGUUUAGUGGCGGACGGGUGAGUAACGCGUGAGUAACCUGCCUCUGAGAGGGGAAUAACAUUCUGAAAAGAAUGCUAAUACCGCAUAAUAUAUAUUUAUCGCAUGGUAGAUAUAUCAAAGAUUUAUCGCUUAGAGAUGGACUCGCGUCCGAUUAGUUAGUUGGUGAGGUAACGGCUCACCAAGACCGCGAUCGGUAGCCGGACUGAGAGGUUGAACGGCCACAUUGGGACUGAGACACGGCCCAGACUCCUACGGGAGGCAGCAGUGGGGGAUAUUGCGCAAUGGGGGA
Molecule: ribosomal RNA, 398 nt
Filed under: Ruminococcus bromii
Lineage: Bacteria; Bacillati; Bacillota; Clostridia; Eubacteriales; Oscillospiraceae
Description: bacterial SSU rRNA
Rfam family: Bacterial small subunit ribosomal RNA
Source: RNAcentral